Nomascus leucogenys (northern white-cheeked gibbon) is the source of this 7580-nucleotide RNA transcript. It is a transcript of the gene named BCL2 associated transcription factor 1, with no coding region annotated. The transcript is spliced from 15 exons. The record is from RefSeq and is a predicted model, not a curated record. Lineage: Eukaryota; Metazoa; Chordata; Mammalia; Primates; Hylobatidae.
CGAGCUAGCGCGUCGAAGGUAGUUCUAUGGUUUUCCUCGCGUUCUUGAGUCGGGAAAUGGCCGCUGUGUGGUUGCAACGGAGAUAAAUCCCCGGAACCGCGAUUCGGCGUGUCAGGAAUUUGAAUUUAGAGUUUAAUUUCUCAGAGCAUUCUCUCCAGGAAGAAUUUUUACAGUAUCUCAAAGACUUCACUUGACUUCUUGAUCCUGCAUAAACCCAAGAAGAGUGAGAGAAGACAAAGGUGGUAGUCUAUUAGAGGAUAGUUAUGUUUUAUUUUGAAAUAAGCAUUUAUCUCAAACAUCUUGAAUUUGUUAUUUAUAUUGCUUGAUGAGGAACUAUCCAAGUAUUACCAUUACCUCUUCUAUAACUGAACUCAUCUUAGUACCUCCAAAUACUAUUUUAUUAUACCGAACAAAGUCUAGGAGAAAAGAAAUGGGUCGCUCCAAUUCUAGAUCACAUUCUUCAAGGUCAAAGUCUAGAUCACAGUCUAGUUCUCGAUCAAGAUCAAGAUCUCAUUCUAGAAAGAAGCGAUACAGUUCUAGGUCUCGUUCCAGAACAUAUUCAAGGUCUCGUAGUAGAGAUCGUAUGUAUUCUAGAGAUUAUCGUCGCGAUUACAGAAAUAAUAGAGGAAUGAGACGACCUUAUGGGUACAGAGGAAGGGGUAGAGGGUAUUAUCAAGGAGGAGGUGGUAGAUAUCAUCGAGGUGGUUAUAGACCUGUCUGGAAUAGAAGGCACUCUAGGAGUCCUAGACGAGGUCGUUCACGUUCCAGGAGUCCAAAAAGAAGAUCCGUUUCUUCUCAAAGAUCCAGAAGCAGAUCUCGCCGGUCAUAUAGAUCUUCUAGGUCUCCAAGAUCAUCCUCUUCUCGUUCUUCAUCCCCAUAUAGCAAAUCUCCUGUUUCUAAAAGACGAGGGUCUCAGGAAAAACAAACCAAAAAAGCUGAAGGGGAACCCCAAGAAGAGAGUCCGUUGAAAAGUAAAUCACAGGAGGAACCGAAAGAUACAUUUGAACAUGACCCAUCUGAGUCUAUCGAUGAAUUUAAUAAGUCAUCAGCCACAUCCGGUGAUAUUUGGCCUGGCCUUUCAGCUUAUGAUAAUAGUCCUAGAUCACCCCAUAGUCCUUCACCUAUUGCUACACCACCUAGUCAGAGUUCAUCUUGCUCUGAUGCUCCCAUGCUCAGUACAGUUCACUCUGCAAAAAAUACUCCUUCUCAGCAUUCACAUUCCAUUCAGCAUAGUCCUGAAAGGUCUGGGUCUGGUUCUGUUGGAAAUGGAUCUAGUCGAUACAGUCCUUCUCAGAAUAGUCCAAUUCAUCACAUCCCUUCACGAAGAAGUCCUGCAAAGACAAUCGCACCACAGAAUGCUCCAAGAGAUGAGUCUAGGGGCCGUUCCUCAUUUUAUCCUGAUGGUGGAGAUCAGGAAACUGCAAAGACUGGGAAGUUCUUAAAAAGGUUCACAGAUGAAGAGUCUAGAGUAUUCCUGCUUGAUAGGGGUAAUACCAGGGAUAAAGAGGCUUCAAAAGAGAAAGGAUCAGAGAAAGGGAGGGCAGAGGGAGAAUGGGAAGAUCAGGAAGCUCUAGAUUACUUCAGUGAUAAAGAGUCUGGAAAACAAAAGUUUAAUGAUUCAGAAGGGGAUGACACAGAGGAGACAGAGGAUUAUAGACAGUUCAGGAAGUCAGUCCUCGCAGAUCAGGGUAAAAGUUUUGCUACUGCAUCUCACCGGAAUACUGAGGAGGAAGGACUCAAGUACAAGUCCAAAGUUUCACUGAAAGGCAAUAGAGAAAGUGAUGGAUUUAGAGAAGAAAAAAAUUAUAAACUUAAAGAGACUGGAUAUGUAGUGGAAAGGCCUAGCACUACAAAAGAUAAGCACAAAGAAGAAGACAAAAAUUCUGAAAGAAUAACAGUAAAGAAAGAAACUCAGUCACCUGAGCAGGUAAAGUCUGAAAAGCUCAAAGACCUCUUUGAUUACAGUCCCCCUCUACACAAGAAUCUGGAUGCACGAGAAAAGUCUACCUUCAGAGAGGAAAGCCCACUUAGGAUCAAAAUGAUAGCGAGUGAUUCUCACCGUCCUGAAGUCAAACUCAAAAUGGCACCUGUUCCUCUUGAUGAUUCUAACAGACCUGCUUCCUUGACUAAAGACAGGCUGCUUGCUAGUACACUUGUCCAUUCUGUCAAGAAGGAGCAAGAAUUCCGAUCCAUCUUUGACCACAUUAAGUUGCCACAGGCCAGCAAAAGCACUUCAGAGUCAUUUAUUCAACACAUUGUGUCCUUGGUUCAUCAUGUUAAAGAGCAAUACUUCAAGUCAGCUGCAGUGACCCUAAACGAGCGGUUCACUUCGUAUCAGAAAGCCACUGAAGAGCAUAGUACUCGGCAAAAGAGCCCUGAAAUACACAGGAGAAUUGACAUCUCACCAAGUACCCUGAGGAAGCAUACCCGUUUAGCAGGGGAAGAGAGAGUUUUUAAAGAAGAAAAUCAAAAGGGAGAUAAAAAAUUAAGGUGUGACUCUGCUGACCUUCGGCAUGACAUUGAUCGCCGUAGAAAAGAAAGAAGUAAAGAACGGGGAGAUUCCAAGGGCUCCAGGGAAUCCAGUGGAUCAAGAAAGCAGGAAAAAACUCCAAAAGAUUACAAGGAAUACAAAUCUUACAAAGAUGACAGCAAAAAUGUAUUUGUCUUUUACACGGCUUAUGGUGGAUGAGGACAAAAACUUUGGAAUAGCAAGCUAACACUGAAAAAAAAAAUGACAAAUUAAUGUGUCCUAUUAUCCAGGCUACAUCAGGAGGUUGGACUUCAAUGCAGUGCAUUUCUAGAAACAGUUUGUUAAACAUAAAAGUAGAGAGCAAGAUCAUUCUCGAUCUUCAUCCUCUUCAGCAUCACCUUCUUCUCCCAGUUCUCGAGAAGAAAAGGAGAGUAAGAAGGAAAGAGAAGAAGAAUUUAAAACUCACCAUGAAAUGAAAGAAUACUCAGGCUUUGCAGGAGUUAGCCGACCACGAGGAACCUUUUUUCGAAUUAGAGGCAGAGGAAGAGCCAGAGGAGUUUUUGCUGGGACAAAUACUGGUCCAAACAACUCAAAUACUACUUUUCAAAAGAGACCGAAGGAAGAGGAAUGGGAUCCAGAAUAUACCCCAAAGAGCAAGAAGUACUUCUUGCAUGACGACAGAGAUGAUGGUGUGGAUUAUUGGGCCAAAAGAGGAAGAGGUCGUGGUACUUUUCAACGUGGCAGAGGGCGCUUUAACUUCAAAAAAUCAGGUAGCAGUCCUAAAUGGACUCAUGACAAAUACCAAGGGGAUGGGAUUGUUGAAGAUGAGGAAGAGACCAUGGAAAAUAAUGAAGAAAAGAAGGACAGACGCAAGGAAGAAAAGGAAUAAUAAAUAUGAAGUAAGAUUACAACAGAGCAGAACUUGCACCCACCAUUUUUUACCUGAUUUUUGUUUUCAAAUAAGAAUGUAAGCAUUUUACUUAAAUUUUACUGUUUGCAAGUAGUCUAUAGAAAUUUUGUUUUAAGUCUUCAAAUAUCUUGAGAAAUAGUAGACUGUAUGUUGAAAAUUGUACUGAAAUAAAGUAGAAAAUUGUUACGUACCAUAUUUGUAACUAUCAACUUUUAAAACUUUUAACGUUUUUGUUACAUGCAUUGUAAUUCUGCUUUGUCUUUAAGAUAUGGUCAAGUACAGCUCUGUGAAAGUUCUGAUUCUCUUCCUUCCCUGUUUGUCAAUGUUUUAUUCUGAAGUAAACGUUAGCUCUACAUAAAAAUCCUGGAACAGAAAUUGUUUAUAGAAACUACACUAAUUGUUUUAACUGUAUACAUCUGUUUAAUUUGAACACACUACAUUGUAGGGUGACUAAUUUUUGAAGUAUACCACAGACAAAAAGUUGUUACUUUGGUGAACUAAGCUAGUUUAACACUUGAGCAAAUGCUUAAGAAGGAAUUAAAAAAAAAAAAAAAAAAGCUUUGCCAAUAGCUAAAAAGUAAAAGCUAUUAAAAAUCAGAUUGAAAAGUUCUGAGAAAAUGUUAUUUUUACUGAAAGCAAGCAGUGGCCUAUAAAGAACAUUCUUAGGAGCCUUUUCUAUUUGCGUUCAAAACUGAGUGUUCUCUUUCUAUUCCUAUUUGAUAGUUUGAGUCAUGGUCUUAGAUAUUAGCUAUUUGUGAGAGGAAACUGGUUUGUAAUAAUACUGCAAAUAGAAACCCCAUUUCUACUGAACAUCCUACUUUUAAACAGAAGAAAAACUGUAAUCCUGGGGUUGGUAUGGAGGAGGUUUAUCCUGCAGAAUAAGUUGAUACAUUAGUACCUGAUUUAAUAUCUUAUGUAUUUAUUUGAGCUGAACAUUAGUUUGUAGUGUAACUAUUAGUAAAAAUAGAGAAACACAGCAUACUGUUCAUUAAUACCAUUUUAAGAAAAUUGUUUUUCAAAUGUCACCAAUAAAAGUUUUGGCAGGAAGCCUGUUGCCGCAUUGAUCUAACUUUUUUCCCCCCUAUUUCAGUUGCAGUUUGUAGAAUGGCUUUUUCUUUUUCCUCUUAAGAGUUCUAUUCUUCAGGUAGAUAACUUUUCAAAUGUGAAUUAUCUUUUGUGUCUAUAUUGAUAGCUCUUAAAGGAGUGAAAAUCUAAAAUAGUAAAUUUCAAUGUUAAGUCUGUCUGCUUUAUGGGCAUAUAUAAAAGUAGACACAUUUCAUUUGUUAAUUUAGUUGUGUGUGUUAAAAGGAGCUAAUGCUUAUUCUGUUAAUGUAAACUUUUGAAGAUCUUAAGUGUAUUGCUCUUUCAUCUUAAACACUUUCGAGGAUUUGCAAUGCGUCUAGCACCUAGGUUACAGCCAGGGACAUUGGUGAAGAACUAUUGGAAACAAAACUAAAAACAAACUCAUCAUAUGUGAUGUUUAUGGCCCUCAGAUCCUUAGUAUUGUGUGAUUUUUCCCCCGUUAACAUGUCUUUCUGAAAUUGUCUAUUAAAGCAGAGGAAAUACCUGCCAAAGGAAGUAUGUAUUGCAUUAAUCAGGACAUAACUAAUAUUCUCCUGUUCAGAAUAAUACUUAUUUACGUGUGAAAGCAACAUGGAUGUGAUUCCUAGCACAGAAUUUUCAUGACCCUUUUAUUGUAUACAAAUGAAUACCCUAACAGUUACUUGGUUAGACAUCAAAUCUGUGUGCAUGACUAUGUGCUUAUCCACUUAAGACAGUAGGUAAAAGGGGAUCUGAGAAAUUAUGUAAUAGGGAGUGGGAAUAAAGCUACUUGAUUCCUGUGGGCAGGUUACAUUUUAAGUUCAAAUGCAUUGCUUUAACCUUUGGUUACUUUUAUUCUAUUAAACAAAAUUGAGGAAAGAGUAUUAUACCAGAGUGUAGUAGGCUAGGGUGAUUGUAAAAACUCUGGAAUAGAAUGUCAUUGUGGAUGUUACCUUUUUCAGAUCCAAGCAUAUAAAAAGUAGCCUGUAUAUUUUUUUAAAACACAUCUUAACUCCACGCUUUACGACGUUAUAAAAGUUGAAUGGUUCCUCUUGGUAAGGAUAUUUGUUUACAAGUGCUAGGAAAUAACUCAUUGAUACCUGUGUCAACAUACUUUGUUUUGCCUAGAGAGGGGCAAUAAAAAUGAACCAAAGGAUAUUUCCAGAAAGGAUUAAGAAAGCUGUUUAAGAAGGCCAUGACUCUUUAGGUGUGUAUGGUGUACCUUUCAGCAUCCUAGGAAUUUUUAUACUAAAAGCAAAAUGUUUUUCCAGUUACAGUCUACUUCAAGGAAUUACUGUUGUUCCUUUUGUCACAGGUAAAAUCAGUGUUGGGAAUUAUAAUUUGAGAAAAAUAUUACCCAGUAACAUUGAAUGUAGAUGGCUAAACGAUUCUUACUCAGUGUGAUGUAUAAUGCAACAGGGACCCUUGUAAAUUGUCAUACGCCAAUAAAAUGUCACAAGUAAUAACUGCUGUUUGUUUACCUGUGUCUAUUUCACACCUUAUUUCUAUGGCUUAUUUUAGAAUAUCAGCAUAUCUGUUAGGAAGAUUACUGGUGUGGUAAGGCUUGAUAAAUGCUUUAUAAACUCCCUCAAACCUCUCUUUACUGUUUCUUUGUUUCGUUUUGUUUUUUUUUUUGUUUUUUCCCUUGUCUCCCCUGGGAAAAUGGGAAAGUUUACAGUUGGUAAAUCUAAGCCAUUAUUUUGAAAUACAGGAAUUCUGGAUUUCUAGUUUAGUCCUCUUUUUCUUAACGUUAAUCUGGGACCUUAUCACUCAUAAUAAGAUUGUGAUUACUUCUCUCUCUGAAAACAUAGUAGCUAGUAAAUAACUAAAAAGAAUUGUCUUUUCAUUCACUUUGAGUAAGAUCUGGUAUAAUUCUUACCACGUGCCAUCCUGUCAGUUUUAACAAAGCGUUUUUACAGAAAUUUGUGUGCUAAGACAAAUUGACACAUUUUGACUCAUAAAAAUGGCAAAUUAGUCCUUAAAAAUUCUGUGAGAGAAAUAAGAACUCUGUGUGUACGUAUAUAUGCAUGUAAAGGGUUGUGUAAGAUCACUGGUAGCUUAAUUAUCCUGGAUAAUUAUAAUGUUAUAUACAAAUUUCUUAUAUAAAAGUAUGCUGUAUUAUUAAGAACAUUUGUUUAACUUUUCUUAUUUUUCUUUUUCUGGGUUUCAACUGGAAUCCCUUUGGUGGGGAUGUACCUUAAGUUUCCUUGUGGAAUAAUACACUUUCACAUCCAGAAAGAGAAGUUCAGAGGCUUUUCUCAGUUUACAGAGUUGAAGAGAGAAGGCAAAUGGAGAAAUAAACUUCAUUGUCAUUGGGAUUAAUUUGGCUAGACUCAAUCUCUUAAGCCUUAAAAUGAGAAAGUAAUAUCCAUUAUAUGUUUAGAGUUCUCAAAUACUUGAUACUGUUAUUAAAUCUGUUUCAAAUUUUAUUGGGGUAGAUACUAAAAAUUAGUACACUGUCCUAAUGAAGUUUAAAUGAACAAGUUUUACAUUUCUUAGGAUUCGGGAAUAUAUGGAAUCUAGUUGUAUUUAAUUGACUUGAGAGCCACAGAGAUUGUGUUGAUUUAUGAGCUGGACUCCUAUUGUUUUAGAAACAUGCAGUAAUGAUUAACAUGUGUCAGUGAUGGUAAUGAGACCAAACUUGUACAUUUAAUUAAGGGUACCAGUUCUCUUUAUGUUAGCAGACUAUACCUUGGCCUUUAAAAAUGAAUCUCACUGAUUAAAGAGAACAGGCAAUAUUAGGACAGCAUUCCACCACAACUAGAAACAUUCAAAUAAUGUGUCUUAAUUGUAAUCUGUAUGUAGGAAAAUUCUUCCUAUGGAUAUUUUUGGUGUUUUACCACAGUGAACUGAUUUGUAGCACUUACAAAGUGCAAAAGGUAAUUUUGAAAAUAGAAAAAUGUUGGGUGAGCAGGCUUUAAUGCUUUUCCCCCCAGAAUAUACAUCAAAUUUUUCUUAAUCUUUUGGGGUUGACCAGUUUCCAAAUUCAUUAAUAAUGAGCUCUGCCUUUAAUAAAAGUACAUGAUCAUAGCUACACUGUACGUUUAGGUGGUGUGAAAUGAUUUAUAAUCACAGCAUGAACUGUGUAUUUGCUUGGUACUGUCAUAGUGAUUACAAAUUUCAUGGAAUGCGAAGAGCCACAAUAAAUAAAAAAUACCA